Molecule: transfer RNA, 85 nt
Filed under: Caenorhabditis brenneri
Lineage: Eukaryota; Metazoa; Nematoda; Chromadorea; Rhabditida; Rhabditidae
Description: tRNA-Arg (CCT) (tRNA-Arg-CCT-7-1)
Rfam family: tRNA
About the family: Transfer RNA (tRNA) molecules are approximately 80 nucleotides in length.
Source: Rfam by way of RNAcentral
GCCGGGGUAGCCAAGUGGCAAAGGCGCGGGCCUCCUGAGCCUGUGGAUGUAAAUUCCUUUAGGGGUUCGAUUCCCCUCUCCGGCA